This 264-nucleotide long non-coding RNA is filed under the name Homo sapiens (human). RNAcentral describes it as "HSALNT0006843". The record is from RNAcentral. Lineage: Eukaryota; Metazoa; Chordata; Mammalia; Primates; Hominidae.
GGAAAACCUGAGGGUAUAGAGAUUUGGCUUUUAUCUUGUGGGUAAUGCAGAGUCACGAAAGGGUUUUGAUCAGGUUUGGAAAUUAGAAAGAUCAUCCCCAGUGCAGAAAAUGAAUCACGGGGGAAAGACUGGAGGCAGGAAGACCAAUGAGGAGAUGGCUGCAGAUGUCAAGGUGAGACAUGGUGGGGCCUGAGCUAAGGCCUGUCAAGCAAGGAAGGGAGCACAGGUGAGAGGCCAGACAGCUGAAUAAGCAAAAUUGAGCCA